GGCGUGGUGGCUGAGUGGUUAUAGCGAUAGACUAGAAAUCUAUUUCCUUCGGGAGCACAGGUUCGAGUCCUGUCCACGUCG
Molecule: transfer RNA, 81 nt
Filed under: Aplosporella prunicola CBS 121167
Lineage: Eukaryota; Fungi; Ascomycota; Dothideomycetes; Botryosphaeriales; Aplosporellaceae
Rfam family: tRNA
About the family: Transfer RNA (tRNA) molecules are approximately 80 nucleotides in length. Their secondary structure includes four short double-helical elements and three loops (D, anti-codon, and T loops).
Source: Rfam by way of RNAcentral